GGGGAUUUAGCUCAGUGGCAUAAGCACCUGCCUUGCAAGCAGGAGGUCGUGAGUUCGAUCCCAGGUACCG
RNAcentral lists this transfer RNA (70 nucleotides) under Cavia porcellus (domestic guinea pig). It matches the Rfam family "tRNA". Rfam says of the family: Transfer RNA (tRNA) molecules are approximately 80 nucleotides in length. Their secondary structure includes four short double-helical elements and three loops (D, anti-codon, and T loops). The record is from Rfam by way of RNAcentral. Lineage: Eukaryota; Metazoa; Chordata; Mammalia; Rodentia; Caviidae.